UGCUGCCUUUGUAAAAUAGGACCUGGUGU
RNAcentral lists this non-coding RNA (29 nucleotides) under Mus musculus (house mouse). Lineage: Eukaryota; Metazoa; Chordata; Mammalia; Rodentia; Muridae. The record is from RNAcentral.